This 5287-nucleotide unclassified non-coding RNA is filed under the name Hevea brasiliensis (rubber tree). The record is from RNAcentral. Lineage: Eukaryota; Viridiplantae; Streptophyta; Magnoliopsida; Malpighiales; Euphorbiaceae.
UAUGCCAAUUCUGACGCUUGAAACCCGUUCGGGGCAUUUGAAAAUGGUAGGGUAGCCUAUAACUUUGACCCGGUUUCGAAAUGAUUCCAACAGCUUAUCUGCUCAGUCUGAAAUUAUAGAUUCGGGCAACGAUCGAAUUGACACUAAACGAAAGUACCUGGUGAAACAUCGCUACCAUCGGGAAACGCCGUCGUUUACAAUCUCCGCGCUGCUGCAACUAACGCCACUGUUUUUGUCUCAUUCACCUUCUCUCUAGUAAAUAUCUCCUUAGCAUCAUCACUUCCUUUCUUCAAAACCCAAAAGGUCCUCUCUCUCCUUUCACUGUUACAGAAGCACAUACACUCGGAUAUUAAACCGUCGCCGAUCAAAAAUCUCUCUUCCCACUGGAAGCGUUAAAUUUCUCUUCCCACUGGAAACGUUUGCUGCCUCUUCAGCUCACUGACUUCAAGCAAACCGAGUCACCGAUCUACAAUCCGUGCCUUAGUUUCUUAUUAUUGCCAUCUGUGUUGACUUGUGGUUGAGCAGGAAAUAGUCGUUGCGUUGAAGUUAUCUAAUGUGAUCACUGAGUUUGGUAGAGGGGCAAAUCCGUGGAAAAUGGAUCGGUCGACGAUAACCGUGGGACCCGGUAUGGAUUUGCCGAUCUUGCACGACAGUGACCGGUACGAUUUCGUCCGGGAUAUUGGGUCAGGGAACUUCGGGGUCGCCCGGUUGAUGAGAGAUAAGGUCACCAAGGAGCUUGUUGCCGUAAAGUAUAUCGAGAGAGGUGACAAGAUUGAUGAAAAUGUUCAAAGAGAAAUUAUUAAUCACAGGUCGCUCAGGCAUCCCAACAUUGUGAAGUUUAAAGAGGUUAGCUUUUUCUUUCUUUAUUAUUUUUUGUGACCUCACAAGCUUAUCUCAUUUAAAGGGUGUUCUGUCUUAAUUUGAUGUGUAAGUUACUGUAAAGUUUUAUUCCAGGUCAUUUUAACUCCCACCCAUCUGGCCAUUGUGAUGGAAUAUGCCUCUGGAGGAGAGCUUUUUGAGAAAAUAUGCAAUGCUGGACGUUUCAGCGAGGAUGAGGUUUACAUUCCAGUAUACUAUUACUAACUGUACUUUCAUAUUAUAUUUUCACUUUUUGCAUGGUUUCUUGACUUUGGUUCCUAGUUCAGGCAAGGUUCUUUUUCCAACAACUCAUAUCAGGGGUUAGCUAUUGCCAUGCCAUGGUACUCAAACUUCAUUUACUUUCACCAAAUAAUGAUAUUGUUGCUGUUGUUGUGGUUUCUAGUGUAAACUAUAUUUUUACAUAAUUUAUUUGGCUUUGUGAAUAUUGUCCUUGAUGAAGCAAGUAUGUCACCGUGAUUUGAAGUUGGAGAACACUUUACUGGAUGGGAGCGAGGCUCCUCGCUUGAAGAUUUGUGAUUUUGGGUACUCCAAGUCUUCAGUGCUUCAUUCACAGCCAAAAUCAACAGUAGGAACUCCUGCGUACAUUGCACCAGAGGUGUUGUUGAGGCAAGAAUAUGAUGGCAAGGUACCACCAUUUCUUUUCCUUCAAAUUCAAUUGAGAAGAUAUGUGACCGCUUCAAUCAAUUUGCAUUCUUUUGAUAAUUUUUAAAGUUUAGCUUAUAUUUUUACUGUAUUGAUUGGCUGAACUGAUAUGUUUAAGGUUAUGUUAGUGGUUAUGUUUGCAAAAUAUUAUUUUUGUUGUUUUGUUUUAGAAUGAUUGAUUAUCAGUCAGGUUGGGUGGAAAAUUGGGAGUACAAUGAGGCAGAGGUCUGCCUCUUUCACAUGGUAUUUUAUUUAUUUAAAAAAUUCCUCUCUAUCAUUUUGUAUAUUGCUUUUGGUUUUGGUGUUGUGCAUUUGAGCUUUGUGGCCGAGAUGAUGUUAAACAUUUUUGUACCUACUAUUUAUCAAAUUGUAGUUUGAAGCUUUAAAUGCCCAUGAUCAAUACCAUGGAAGCAAUCAACUUGCUUCAGGUAUGAAUCGCAAGCUAUUUGAUUCUGGCAUGGCCACCUUCAUGGAAAGAAAUUGGCUUGCUUUCCUAUUUACAAUCUCUUCAUUUAGAUGUGGUCCUGGUCUCAUAUGUAACCUGUGACUAUGCCAAUUGUAGUCCACUGUCCAAGAUGGUCCUUCUUAGACAUUUGUAGGACUUGAAAUCAAUACUGACCUUUAGUAUUUUGGUAUGAAGUGUAUACUUUUGAGAUGGCUUGUGUGUCAAUAUCUCCUGUUUGGCUUCAUGAAGGAACCUUGCACCCACUUCACUUGUUACUAUACUCUUAUAGCCCUUAAGUGAAAUCUCAUGUUCCCCUCCAUGGAGGGGGAACUUUUUGUUAUGCUUUCCUUCAUAAAAGUAUUGCAAAUGGGAUUGGGCUGUGCCUUCACUGUCACUGUAGACUGUGUGCUGCCUGUUAACAAGCAAUAAUUGGUAGACUGUAUACUGACUGUUAACAAGCAAUAAUUGGUCUAAGUCGGAAGUUUGUAUUAACAAACUCAUGCAGGCAUACCCAAAUCAUGAUAAAUAUUUUCAGAAUUGGAUUAUUUAAUACAAAAAUAUGUUGCUAGUUUGAUGUUGUGCUGCAACAACAGAUUGCAGAUGUGUGGUCAUGUGGGGUGACGUUGUAUGUGAUGCUGGUUGGAGCAUAUCCCUUUGAGGAUCCUGAUGAGCCAAGGGACUUCAGGAAGACAAUACAGGUUUAUCACUGGAUCAUGUUGUUACUUGACACUUUCUUAUGCUAUAUUUCCUUUAUGCAAGACAAUGUUCUUGUUGCAUCCUUGCAGAGAAUUCUUAAUGUCCAGUAUUCCAUCCCAGACAUUGUUCAGAUGUCUCCUGCAUGUCGUGACCUGAUUUCUCGAAUUUUUGUUUUUGAUCCUGCAGCUGUGAGUAAUUCCUUUUCUUAGGAAUCUUAGUUUUGUUAGAUAGAUAAAUAACUUUGAUGUGUGUUUUAGAGAAAAACUUGAGAAGUGUGAUAGUAGAACUUCAUCUUUUACUGCUAAUUAGUAGCAACUGCACUGCAUAAAUUUUUUCUAUAUCUCUGUGCGUGGUGAUGAAUAGAAAUGAGGACUGUACUUUUGUAAAAUUAAAUGGAGUCAUUAUAUGUGAACCUCGGCUAAAAUUUUUAAUCCUUUAUAUAUUAUAGAUACUAAUAAACCAUUUGUUUGAGUUAGCUUUAUUAUAUUGGUCGGAAACUUGCCUCAGGAAGCAUGCUAAAAUUUGGUGCAAUGCUUACUAUUAUUAUAUAUUGGACAAUUUUAUUAUGUCAACUACCUCUGCUAGUGUGAUCUUUUUUGUUAAGGCGCCCUUUUUUGUAUAUCAUAGAGGAUUACCAUUCCACAAAUCAAGAACCAUGAGUGGUUUCUGAAGAAUCUGCCGAUGGACCUAAUGGAUGAGAAGACAAUAGGCAACCAGUUUGAGGAGCCUGAGCAACCCAUGCAGAGCAUUGAUACCAUAAUGCAAAUAAUUUCUGAGGCCACCAUACCAGCUGCUGGGGCCCAUGACCUUAAUCGGUAUAUGGCAGACAACCUUGACAUGGAUGAUGACAUGCUGGACUUUGAUUCUGAAUCUGAGCUUGAUGUGGAUAGUAGCGGGGAGAUAGUUUAUGCACUGUAAUCACGGCAUUUCUUUACAAGAGGUGGUGGUUCUUCAGGCUUGUGGACAUAUCAAGAUCUAGUCAAAAAAAUGCAACCUAGAAUGUGGUAGGUUAGCAUAGAAAAACAGCUUAUGAAAGUGCAAUAUAUGCUUUGGGUCUGUCAUGCUCACAAUAUGAAUGUUCUGUUCCUUUCUGUGUGGAGGGAUUUCAUCUUAUUGCUUGAAAAGGGCUGGUAAGCGGUAUGAAUUCUCGAACUUGGGAUAUGCUCCUGUUGCCAUCCCGAUGAACUGACUAUUUAUUAUUUUUUUCACUGGUCCUGUGCUUUUUGUUUUUUACUGUUCUGGUAUAAAUUAUGUAUGCUUUAUGUAACAGUUGCUUAUAAAUUUUAAUAUAUAUUUUGCAGCUAGUUUUUAUCCCUGGCUUAGUUUUGCACUAGUUAGAAGAGUCUCCUGUCUCUCUCAAUGUGCAAGUGCUUGUGAGCACUUGUGUCUCUUGAAAAUGCAUCUGGAUUUUGUGGACUGACCACAACCAAUAGAAGAACAGAGGAAAAGGGAGAAGAAAUAGAAUAAAUGGGAGGAGGAGAAGAAAGAGAAGGGAAGAAACAGAGGGAUCGAGAGAUGGUGUAUUUCUGUAUUAAGGAGAAGCCAAAGGAAGGAAUUGAAACGCAAAACAGAGAGAUAGAGAACUUAGGGAGAAGAUAGAAUUUCUGUAUUAUUUGAUUGAUAAGCCAACUACAAUUCAAUUCUCUAUUUAUGUUAGUACAUGAAUAACAAUCCUAACACUGUAUUUUGUUGAAGUAUCAUAGUCUCUGCUUUUGCUGUUACAGCUGCUGCAGCGAUGAUGCCUUGAUUGCUUAUGCGAUAUCUAACAAUUUUGAGUAAGCCAAGUAAACUAGCUUCAUUAUAAUUUUACCAAACAGUCAGCCCUCUUUGUUAAUUGUCCUAUUGCUCUCUUCCUUUUUAGGGCUACAAAACAACCUCCUAUUGUGAAAUAGUUCACACUAAUUCCAUUAUGAAAAACAUCAAAUAAAGACUAGAAUGAAUGGACCAUUACAAGGGAGUUAAGAACGAUGGCUGUCUAACAAUAUUUGAGAGAAGAGUUGGUCAAAAACCAACAUUGUAAAGCCAGUUUAAGUUGAUGUCUUCUUUGUCCACCUUAAUCUCCAAAUUCUCAAGUUGGUCAACAAAUGGCUCCCAUAAGUUGGCUAUUUCUUCAUCACAUAUCACUUCCUUGAGAUGCUCUAGUUCCAAGAUUGAAGGGGGUAGCUCAAUUUUGUUUGAGCAUCCGAUCAUGUGGAGCUUUCUUAGAUUUUGCAGAUCCCUAAUCUGUUCAGGCAAUUUUCUGAUUUCUGAACACUCGGAUAUAUCAAGAAUUUUUAACUUAUGGAGGCUUCCAAUCGUGCUCGGUAACUCUGCCAGUUCAAUGCAGCCGCUAAAUCUUACAAUCUCUAAAUUAACCAGGUUGCCUAUUUCUUUAGGUAGUGCAACCAACUUGUGACAAUUGGUGAUGCUCAGUUUCCCUAGCUGGACAAGUUGACACAGCCCAACAGGCAACUCGACUAGAUCGUUGGAGUAGUCGAUGUUUAUUUCCACCAAAUUUGGCAAUGCAUCUGAAACUUGGAUGGUAGAUGUACUGCUAAAAGCUUGGCCAAUAUUGCAUAGCACCAAGGUUAUCUUGUGCAGAUUCUUGAACUGUACAGAGGUGAAGCCAAAGGAAGGAAUUGAAAC